AAAAUCCGUCGACUUUCUAAGUCGUGAG
This 28-nucleotide transfer RNA is filed under the name Oryza australiensis. RNAcentral's name for it is "partial tRNA-Leu". The record is from RNAcentral. RNAcentral also lists the same sequence under 19 other names. Lineage: Eukaryota; Viridiplantae; Streptophyta; Magnoliopsida; Poales; Poaceae.